UAAAGUGGAGCUUGAAAUAAGCAUUUCAUUUACACUGAGAGGAUACUUGAUUGUAUUGAGUUACUUUAA
Molecule: transfer RNA, 69 nt
Filed under: Ornebius fuscicerci
Lineage: Eukaryota; Metazoa; Arthropoda; Insecta; Orthoptera; Mogoplistidae
Description: tRNA-Val
Source: RNAcentral